This 661-nucleotide ribosomal RNA is filed under the name Myriangiales sp. A554. RNAcentral's name for it is "SSU rRNA". It matches the Rfam family "Eukaryotic small subunit ribosomal RNA", at positions 150 to 821 of the family's 1831-position model. Lineage: Eukaryota; Fungi; Ascomycota; Dothideomycetes; Myriangiales. The record is from RNAcentral.
UGGUAAUUCUAGAGCUAAUACAUGCUAAAAACCCCGACUUCGGAAGGGGUGUAUUUAUUAGAUAAAAAACCAAUGCCCUUCGGGGCUCUCUGGUGAAUCAUAAUAACUUAACGAAUCGCAUGGCCUUGCGCCGGCGAUGGUUCAUUCAAAUUUCUGCCCUAUCAACUUUCGAUUGUAGGAUAGAGGCCUACAAUGGUAUCAACGGGUAACGGGGAAUUAGGGUUCGAUUCCGGAGAGGGAGCCUGAGAAACGGCUACCACAUCCAAGGAAGGCAGCAGGCGCGCAAAUUACCCAAUCCCGACACGGGGAGGUAGUGACAAUAAAUACUGAUACAGGGCUCUUUUGGGUCUUGUAAUUGGAAUGAGUACAAUCUAAAUCCCUUAACGAGGAACAAUUGGAGGGCAAGUCUGGUGCCAGCAGCCGCGGUAAUUCCAGCUCCAAUAGCGUAUAUUAAAGUUGUUGCAGUUAAAAAGCUCGUAGUUGAACCUUGGGCCUGGCUGGCCGGUCCGCCUCACCGCGUGCACUGGUUCGGCCGGGCCUUUCCUUCUGGGGAGCCUCAUGGUUUUCAUUAACCGUGACGGGGAACCAGGACUUUUACUUUGAAAAAAUUAGAGUGUUCAAAGCAGGCCUUCGCUCGAAUACAUUAGCAUGGAAUAAUAGA